Molecule: ribosomal RNA, 497 nt
Filed under: uncultured bacterium
Lineage: Bacteria
Description: partial 16S ribosomal RNA
Rfam family: Bacterial small subunit ribosomal RNA
Source: RNAcentral
GAUGAACGCUGGCGGCGUGCCUAAUACAUGCAAGUCGAGCGAACAGACGAGGAGCUUGCUCCUCUGACGUUAGCGGCGGACGGGUGAGUAACACGUGGAUAACCUACCUAUAAGACUGAGAUAACUUCGGGAAACCGGAGCUAAUACCGGAUAAUAUAUUGAACCUCAUGGUUCAAUAGUGAAAGACGGUUUUGCUGUCACUUAUAGAUGUAUCCGCGCCGCAUUAGCUAGUUGGUAAGGUAACGGCUUACCAAGGCAACGAUGCGUAGCCGACCUGAGAGGGUGAUCGGCCACACUGGAACUGAGACACGGUCCAGACUCCUACGGGAGGCAGCAGUAGGGAAUCUUCCGCAAUGGGCGAAAGCCUGACGGAGCAACGCCGCGUGAGUGAUGAAGGUCUUCGGAUCGUAAAACUCUGUUAUUAGGGAAGAACAAAUGUGUAAGUAACUAUGCACGUCUUGACGGUACCUAAUCAGAAAGCCACGGCUAACUACGUG